RNAcentral lists this ribosomal RNA (253 nucleotides) under uncultured bacterium. RNAcentral describes it as "partial 16S ribosomal RNA". It matches the Rfam family "Bacterial small subunit ribosomal RNA", at positions 524 to 776 of the family's 1533-position model. The record is from RNAcentral.
GACGAACCGUGCGAACGUUGUUCGGAAUCACUGGGCUUAAAGGGCGCGUAGGCGGGCCGGACGGUCCGCGGUGAAAUCCCCCCGCUCAACGGGGGAACGGCCGCGGAUACCGCCGGCCUCGAGGGGGGUAGGGGCGAGCGGAACGCUGGGUGGAGCGGUGAAAUGCGUUGAUAUCCAGCGGAACUCCGGUGGCGAAGGCGGCUCGCUGGACCCCCACUGACGCUGAGGCGCGAAAGCGUGGGUAGCAAACAGG